This 484-nucleotide ribosomal RNA is filed under the name uncultured bacterium. RNAcentral's name for it is "partial 16S ribosomal RNA". It matches the Rfam family "Bacterial small subunit ribosomal RNA", at positions 29 to 507 of the family's 1533-position model. The record is from RNAcentral.
AUUGAACGCUGGCGGCAUGCUUUACACAUGCAAGUCGAACGGCAGCGCGGGCUUCGGCCUGGCGGCGAGUGGCGAACGGGUGAGUAAUGCAUCGGAACGUGCCCAGUAGUGGGGGAUAGCCCGGCGAAAGCCGGAUUAAUACCGCAUACGACCUGAGGGUGAAAGCGGGGGACCGAAAGGCCUCGCGCUAUUGGAGCGGCCGAUGUCGGAUUAGCUAGUUGGUGGGGUAAAGGCUUACCAAGGCGACGAUCCGUAGCUGGUCUGAGAGGACGACCAGCCACACUGGGACUGAGACACGGCCCAGACCCCUACGGGAGGCAGCAGUGGGGAAUUUUGGACAAUGGGGGCAACCCUGAUCCAGCCAUGCCGCGUGCGGGAAGAAGGCCUUCGGGUUGUAAACCGCUUUUGUUCGGGAAGAAAUCCUAUGGGCUAAUACCCCGGGGGGAUGACGGUACCGGAAGAAUAAGCACCGGCUAACUACGUG